Molecule: non-coding RNA, 1194 nt
Organism: Chrysemys picta bellii (western painted turtle)
Lineage: Eukaryota; Metazoa; Chordata; Testudines; Emydidae
Source: RefSeq, a predicted model, not a curated record
CCGGGGGUGGGACCCCAGGGCUGGGAUAACAGGGGUCUGUGGGUCGGGAUUGAGGGGCACCGGCAGAGCCAGGGGUGGGUAGCUUGCACAGUCUCUGCCCGGCUGUGCCUGGCUCCUGCUAGCGCUGUGGGCUCCUCACUUUCACAAGCACCAAAGUUGCUCGGGGCGUGGAGACGAGUGCAGCCACCCAGAGCGCCUGGGCCCCUCUGGUGCCAGGCUGCACAGGGCAGUGACGACCUGCACCUACCUUACAAAGCCCAUCUCGGAGCUCUCUGGGCAUGGGCACGUUGCAGGGACACUGUCCCCACAGCCCAGGCUUCCCUGCUCUGGGCCAAGCGGCUGACUUUCCCAGGCCAGGGGACUGGGCGCUCACGUUUUCCGGCCGCCCAGCUCAGUGAUGGAGCAUGUGACCAGCUCCUAUUCAGCCUGAGCGGGGAAGGUGAACUGCAAGACCUCCCCGUCUCUGUCCUCCCAAAGGCCAACACAACUUGCUUGGCUAACAAUACGUGUCCACCCACCACCUCCCUGAGCAGCGGGCGGCAGCUUGAUGGCUCCCUCUUUUCUGACAUACCCACCGGGAACGCGGGGCUGUAUAUAAGGAGGGGACGUGCUGCCUGCCUGACACUUCAAUCAGCAUCCAGGACUGCAAGCGCCAGGAAACAGCAGAGUCAGCUGAGGCUACUUCCAGAGAUGAACCUGAUGCUUCAAGUCACCUUCCUGGGUCUCCUGUCCCUGCUGGUGCAGGGCUGGGUUCAGAACAGAUCCCUGCAGCGUGAGAGAUGGAGCCAGCUGGACCUGCCGCAGAACAGAGAGCUGUUCCUAAGUGCCCUGCAGAGCUACUUCGGCAGCAGAGGGAUCCACGUCGAGAAGGCUGCGCCGGCCUUCGUGCUGUCCACGAGGGAUCGCAACCAGGGGGACCAGGAAGGACGAGAGCUGAUGGCCCCCGAGAGGGGGGUAGAUGACUAGGAAGAGCUGAUGGCAGGUGGAGUCUUGGCAAUACGAUCGCUUCUGCCUCUGAGUACUUCACAGUGAUGCACUGACUCUCCCCUGCUGCUGCACACACACACACACACACAGGCGCACACACACACACGGGCACGCACGCACACACACACGAGUGACCUUUUUAUAUUUGCUGGGCUCUGCCUGCAAUACUGCGCUGUAGGGUUGGAUUCAAUAAAUUCUACUCUCUAA